Molecule: ribosomal RNA, 468 nt
Filed under: Prunus javanica
Lineage: Eukaryota; Viridiplantae; Streptophyta; Magnoliopsida; Rosales; Rosaceae
Description: eukaryotic LSU rRNA
Rfam family: 5.8S ribosomal RNA (bases 5-160)
Source: RNAcentral
AAACGACUCUCGGCAACGGGUAUCUCGGCUCUCGCAUCGAUGAAGAAUGUAGCGAAAUGAAAUACUUGGUGUGAAUUGCAUAAUCCCGUGAACCAUGGAGUCCUUGAACGCAAGUUGCGCCCGAAGCCAUUAGGCCGAGGGCACACCUUCCUAGGCGUCACACGUCGUCGCCCCCCCAACCAAUCCCUCGGGAUUGCGGGGGGCGGAUGAUGGCCUCCCGCGCGCUCCGUCACGCGGUUGGCAUAAAUACCCAGUCCCCGACGGCGCACGCCACGACGAUCGAUGGUUGCGAGACCUCGGUUGCCCGUCGCGCGUCGGGGGCUCGAAAGAACGCUCGACUCCAGCUCGGCUUUCAACGCGACCCCAGGUCAGGCGGUGUCACCUGCGGAAUUUAAGCAUAUCAAUAAGUAGAGGAAAAGAAACUUUCGAAGAUUCCCCUAGUAACGGUGAGUGAACCAGGAACAGCCC